UUAUUUUCCCUCUCUCCCCCUCACGUUCCCUUCCUCCCUCUUUUCCCUCAUUCUCGCCUCAUCUCCCUCGUCCCACUCACCCCCACCCUUUUCAGCUCUCUCUCUUUCUCUUCUUCAUCUCAAUACCGCCGCACCCCCCUACCCUACACUCCCCACUUGUUCCCCCCGCUCCUCUUUCAUCAUCACCUACGCUCCCCUCCGCUCCUUUCUUUCCUCACUCUAUAAAGGAGAGGAGCAAAAUCUGAUUAAAGGGGGGAUUUUUGGAAUGGUCGAGGGACGGGAGCCGAAAUCAAAUAAAAAAGGGGAUUGAACACGAUUUGAAGAAUUUCUGGGCUUGGAAUUCUGUUUUAGCCACUUAGAUUCCUCUGAAAACAUUAAUAUUCUUAAGCCUUAACACUUUCGGGUAGCGAUUCAAAAUAGCAAACCAUAUUUUUGCUCCUUUUCUCCCCCCUGCUACUAAAUUUCGAUUUCAAGCAUAGACGAGUUGAGGUUCGCUCGUGUUCGGGUCUAUUCAUAACGAGAGUGUAGAUUCGAUGACUUCGACGCCUCAGUUCAUUGCGCGCAAAACAGGUAUGGAUUUGCAUUGGAGUACAACAAAUGACGAAGAUCAAGGGCAUCACAAAUGGAGCUAGAAAGUUAGACAUAGAAAUUUUAUUUACUUUAUUUAGAUUAGGAAACACUUUAUGUUGUAUUCAUUUGACAUGUAAUAAAUAUUACAUUAUUUUGUACUUUAUUUUUUGAGAAAUAUAAUUUGUUUAAUUAAUCAAAAGCAACGGGAUGACAUAUUAUGACACA
This is a long non-coding RNA of Lycium barbarum (goji berry), 795 nucleotides long. RefSeq lists it as uncharacterized. The record is from RefSeq and is a predicted model, not a curated record. NCBI's taxonomy places the organism in Eukaryota, Viridiplantae, Streptophyta, Magnoliopsida, Solanales, Solanaceae. The transcript has 2 exons.